This 253-nucleotide ribosomal RNA is filed under the name uncultured bacterium. RNAcentral describes it as "partial 16S ribosomal RNA". It matches the Rfam family "Bacterial small subunit ribosomal RNA", at positions 524 to 776 of the family's 1533-position model. The record is from RNAcentral.
GACGGAGGAUGCAAGCGUUAUCCGGAAUUAUUGGGCGUAAAGCGUCCGCAGGUGGACAUACAAGUCUGCUGUCAAAGUGCAGAGCUUAACUCUGUAAAGGCGGUGGAAACUGUAGGUCUUGAGUAUGGUAGGGGUAGAGGGAAUUCCCGGUGUAGCGGUGAAAUGCGCAGAUAUCGGGAAGAACACCCGUGGCGAAGGCGGCUCUCUGGGACGGUACUGACGCUGAGACGCGAAAGCGUGGGGAGCGAACAGG